Molecule: ribosomal RNA, 468 nt
Filed under: uncultured bacterium
Lineage: Bacteria
Description: partial 16S ribosomal RNA
Rfam family: Bacterial small subunit ribosomal RNA
Source: RNAcentral
GACGAACGCUGGCGGCGUGCUUAACACAUGCAAGUCGAACGGAAAGGCCCUGCUUUUGUGGGGUGCUCGAGUGGCGAACGGGUGAGUAACACGUGAGUAACCUGCCCUUGACUUUGGUAUAACUUCAGGAAACUGGGGCUAAUACCGGAUAGGAGCUCCUGCUGCAUGGUGGGGGUUGGAAAGUUUCGGCGGUUGGGGAUGGACUCGCGGCUUAUCAGCUUGUUGGUGGGGUAGUGGCUUACCAAGGCUUUGACGGGUAGCCGGCCUGAGAGGGUGACCGGCCACAUUGGGACUGAGAUACGGCCCAGACUCCUACGGGAGGCAGCAGUGGGGAAUAUGGCAAAAUGGGCGGAAGCCUGAUGCAGCAACGCCGCGUGCGGGAUGACGGCCUUCGGGUUGUAAACCGCUUUCGCCUGUGACGAAGCGUGAGUGACGGUAAUGGGUAAAGAAGCACCGGCUAACUACGUG